UGACUUGACUUUCCGGUCCGCGGCGGAACCCUGUACGUGACCUCAGGUCUGGACUUCCUAACUCCUGAAAGAGAAGCUAAAACACCAGGAAUACAAGCAACCUAGAUCUUAUGAGGAAAGAUGGUCACCAGCCCUGGAGGAAGCUGGCUAUCACAUCCUGGGAGCCUUCAGCAGCUCAACAGAGAGGCCA
Fukomys damarensis (Damara mole-rat) is the source of this 190-nucleotide long non-coding RNA. RefSeq lists it as uncharacterized. The transcript has 3 exons. The record is from RefSeq and is a predicted model, not a curated record. NCBI's taxonomy places the organism in Eukaryota, Metazoa, Chordata, Mammalia, Rodentia, Bathyergidae.